UCCCACCCGUGUAUACCGUACCCUGUUGCUUCGGCGGGCCCGCCUCACGGCCGCCGGGGGGCCUCGCGCCCCCGGGCCCGCGCCCGCCGAAGACCCCAACACGAACACUGUCUGAAAAGUGCAGUCUGAGUCGAUUGUUACCAAUCAGUCAAAACUUUCAACAAUGGAUCUCUUGGUUCCGGCAUCGAUGAAGAACGCAGCGAAAUGCGAUAACUAAUGUGAAUUGCAGAAUUCAGUGAAUCAUCGAGUCUUUGAACGCACAUUGCGCCCCCUGGUAUUCCGGGGGGCAUGCCUGUCCGAGCGUCAUUGCUGCCCUCAAGCACGGCUUGUGUGUUGGGCCCCGUCCCCGGUACCCCCGGGGACGGGCCCGAAAGGCAGCGGCGGCACCGCGUCCGGUCCUCGAGCGUAUGGGGCUUUGUCACCCGCUCCGCAGGCCCGGCCGGCGCCAGCCGACCAACCCAACCAUUUUCUACAGGUUGACCUCGGAUCAGGUAGGGAUACCCGCUGAACUUAAGCAUAUCAAUAAGCGGAGGA
RNAcentral lists this ribosomal RNA (534 nucleotides) under Aspergillus candidus. RNAcentral describes it as "eukaryotic LSU rRNA". The stretch from base 153 to 306 matches the Rfam family "5.8S ribosomal RNA". Lineage: Eukaryota; Fungi; Ascomycota; Eurotiomycetes; Eurotiales; Aspergillaceae. The record is from RNAcentral.